Molecule: ribosomal RNA, 459 nt
Filed under: uncultured bacterium
Lineage: Bacteria
Description: partial 16S ribosomal RNA
Rfam family: Bacterial small subunit ribosomal RNA
Source: RNAcentral
CCUACGGGAGGCAGCAGUGAGGGAUAUUGGUCAAUGGCCGCAGGGCUGAACCAGCCAAGUCGCGUGAGUGAUGACGGUCCUAUGGAUUGUAAACCUCUUUUGUCAGGGAGCAAAGGGCGCCACGUGUGGCGCUUUGCGAGUCCCUGAAGAAAAAGCAUCGGCUAACUCCGUGCCAGCAGCCGCGGUAAUACGGAGGAUGCGAGCGUUAUCCGGAUUUAUUGGGGUGAAAGGGUGCGCAGGCGGAAUGUCCCGUCAGCGGUAAAAUUUCGGGGCUCAACCCCGUCGUGCCGUUGAAACUGGGGUUCUUGAGUGAGCGAGAAGUAGGCGGAAGGCGUGGUGUAGCGGUGAAAUGCAUAGAUAGCACGCAGAACUCCGAUGGCGAAAGCAGCAUACCGGCGCUCAACUGACGCUCAGGCACGAAAGCGUGGGUAUCGAACAGGAUUAGAUACCCUUGUAGUC